CUCGUAGGCGGUUUGGUGAGUCGGGUGUGAAAUCUCCACGCUCAACGUGGAGGGGCCACCCGAUACUGCCAUGACUAGAGUCCGGUAGGGGAGUGUGGAAUUCCCGGUGUAGCGGUGAAAUGCGCAGAUAUCGGGAGGAACACCAGUAGCGAAGGCGACACUCUGGGCCGGUACUGACGCUGAGGAGCGAAAGCGAUGGGGAGCGAACA
This 209-nucleotide ribosomal RNA is filed under the name uncultured bacterium. RNAcentral's name for it is "partial 16S ribosomal RNA". It matches the Rfam family "Bacterial small subunit ribosomal RNA", at positions 568 to 774 of the family's 1533-position model. The record is from RNAcentral.